RNAcentral lists this long non-coding RNA (4070 nucleotides) under Sus scrofa (pig). Its description in RNAcentral is "lncRNA (ENSSSCG00040024639.1)". Lineage: Eukaryota; Metazoa; Chordata; Mammalia; Artiodactyla; Suidae. The record is from RNAcentral.
GGAAGAGGGGAAACUGUUAUGGAGGAAAAUGUAUCAAGAAAGAGGAGAGCACACUUCGUGGUCAUUGUAAAUAGAGUGAUCAUGAAGGGUGUGGUUAGAGCCUGAAUUUGGGGGUGAGAAGCAGCCUUUCAGAUGUCUGGGAAGCUCACUGCCAGUGGAGGGACAGAGUGCCUGCGGUUGGAGCCUGUGGGCUAGAGGGAGGAGGAAGGGGUAGGAUGUGAGGCUGGGGGUGCAGCAGGCAGGUCACAGGCCGGUGCUCUGAGUUGGGUAGGGCCUAGGGAUGGCACAGGGUGAGGGCCCCGCUCUGAGGAGCAAGAAACAAGGGCAGGCGCCACAGCAACAAUUCAGGCAGAAGGAAGCCUUCUGAUCCUGACUGUGUGGAAGAAAGAAAUCAAGGUCAGUGUCAAGGGCAGUGGCCCGGGGAACAUGGGAGGGAAGGGUGGGCAUCAGCUAGUGGGGAGCGGGCCUGGUAUGGGGCAGUUGGGAUUUUUUUUCUUUAUUAAAUUUAAGACUUGGGUACAUGAAAUAAAAUCCAUUUCUGGGGAAAAACAAUCAAAACCCACAAUAGGGGAAAAAAAGAAAGUGAACACUAUCUGGGCCAUAUCAGAACCCAGAGUAGAGCUUUUAAAGAACUCCAGAUAAGUCAGAAGUGGAGAAAUUUGUUCAGCCCCACACACUCCCUGAUUGGAUCCCAAAAUCUAUUCCUUAAAGACUCUAGUGGGGAGCCCUGGAUUCUGUUAAGGUCCCUCCAGCUCCAUACCCCCAAUGUCCCUUUUUCUCUGAUCUGGUGGCAAAAUUUGUCUCAAAAUUUGGGACAGAUUGAUUUUUCAGUGACGGUAACACUUUCUGAUAAAUGCGGUUAAAGCCAUUUCUCCCCCCUCCCCCGCCCACCCUCUCCUGUAAGAAACUUAACUACAGGGGGAGAAAUGGCCUCAAAUGGAAGUAAACAGCUGGAGCUGAUGAAUUCCAGAAACAAGUAUUCCUAGAAGCGUUUAUGGAGGAAGGGGGGUGCUGGGAGAAGGAGAGAGAGAGAUGAAUGCCGUGGAGGUUAUGUAAAUAUAAUUAUUUCUAAGUAGAAUACCUUCAAUAUUUUCCAUUAGGUAGCGGGGAGGUCAUUGUGAGGCCAAUUGUCCAAAUAUGGCUGCUCAUUCCUCUGAGUCAGCAAAAUAUAUUAACAACAACAACGAAAAAGAUCUGUGGGAGAGAAAAAUUUCCUGCCACAUAUUCUGGUAAGUAUCUCUAAAUGUAUGGAAUCUUAUAUUUAGGGCUGUGGUUUGCAAACAUCUUUUCCAAGUGUGAAAAAAACCUCCUUUCAAAGGAAACGUGACUCAAAACGCCUUCCCACAACCCCCAGUCCAGCCUCAGGAAACCCCAGGAAUUCAAGUCUGGGUGUUUUGAGGGCUGACCUCAGACUAGAAACUACUCUUCAUCUGGGAGUUAGUUAGAAAUGCAGCCUCUGGGCCGGACCUGCCCCAUCGGAGGCUGCAUUUUCAUACCGACUCCAGGGGCUUUGUAUGCACCUUAAAAUUGAAGAGGCAGAUUGAGGGGAUUUACUCCUGAAAAUUUCUUCCUCUGUUGGAUCAUUCUAAAUACCUGGAUGAGGCGUCUUGAAAAUUAGUCUGGAAAUUUCCAGCUCCCAACCCAGGUACCGCUCUAAGUAGGGUAAUCCAGGGUAACUGUGUCAUCUGCUAGACGGCUUCUUCUAGUUUGUCAAAUCUAAAGUGUACCCCUCCUCUCGCAGAAAUGGCACAGGAAGAAGUGACGGUGCCUUGGAAAAAGGCAAGAGAAGAGAGAGAGUAAAAUGGUUAAAAGUAGAGGGUGUGAACCUGAGUUCCAGGGGCUUGAACUCAACACUUCCACCUCCUGCUUUGGGUAGACUCGGGCAAGUUAAUUAAAGUCCUGUGCUAUUUGUCCCCAUCGUCAAAGGGGGAUGGGGGUGGUGAGGAUGAUGAUGGUACCCAUGGUGAUGAUAAUAAUGAUGGGGAUGAAAAUGGUACCCAGGAUGAUGAUGAUAAUGAUGAGGAUGAGGAUGAGGAUGGUUCCCUUGAUGAUAACCAUGGUGAGGAUAAGGAUGGUACCCAUGAUGAUAAUAAUGAUGGGGAUGAAAAUGGUACCCAGGAUGAUGAUGAUAAUGGUGAGGAUGAGGAUGGUACCCAUGAUGAUGAUGAUAAUGGUGAGGAUGAAGAUGGUACCCAUGAUGGUGAUGAUAAUGGUGAGGAUGAGGGUGGUACCCAUGAUGGUGAUAAUAAUGAUGGGGAUAAAAUGGUACCCGGGAUGAUGAUGAUAAUGGUGAGGAUGAGGAUGGUUCCCUUGAUGAUAACCAUGGUGAGGAUGAGGAUGGUAUCCAUCAAAUGACUGAUAGGCAGGAGGCACCUGGAAUUGUCAAGGCAGCUGGUAAGGGCUUUUACUCCUGAUUAAGUAGGAUCUACACCUGUGUCCUGGGCCAUGCUUGUCAAGCACCUGAGUUGUGAACCCUGCUGGCCUAGGGGGGUAGCCUGGGCCUGGGUGCAUGCAGGGCCUCCUGGGCAGCCCCUCCACAGGGUGGUGCUGGCCCCCAGGAGCCUUUCUGCAUGAUACGGAGAGCCUCUGCCACCUCUCUGCUCUCUUGGCACCAUGAACCACUUGGUCUCAACCCAGCGAUCUGCUCUUAUAAAUAGGAGAGGAGAUAAAAAUAGAAAAGUUGUGGAAAACUGACACAGGGAAUUAGGUCACCCUAGAAAUGCCAAGACAUCAGCAAAGCUUCUGAUUAGCAAGGGUUUAAUACUGCGACCUCUGAUGGCUGCCAGGCCCUGGACGUGUAGGCUGAGAAUUCCAGAUGGAACAGGCCUGAAGGGAUGCCCCAGAAGCAACCCUCUAUCUCGCCACCCUCCAUAUUCAUGUUCCUAUGAAACUGCUCUGUUUGGGGUCAGAAAAGCAGCAGCAGAAACCAGGGGGGAAGCAUAAGGCAGGAAGAUGGGCUGACAUGAUGUGGAUUCAGUUAAACUUGAGUUUGAGUUUGGGUCCAAUUGCACCUUAAUUCUUGCCUCCGAGGCAAAUUCCACAGGCCACCUGUGGACGGAACCCUUUUCUUCUCUGGUGGAGAUGCCAGGACUCUGUAUGGGACCCAGAGCAAUGGCCAGUGGCUGGUCCUCCUGGGUGAAGUAGGGGAGCAAACGGGUGAGAAGCAUCUCAGCCUCAGAACAUGGCACACUCUUCAGUGCCUGACUCCGGGACAUUAAACUUCCAUCCUAUUUGGAACGCAGGCCCCUUGAUGACCCCAAAGGAGUGUCGUGUGUCCUUUGUGGGGGUCAGGAAGGAUGAGAAAGCAGACCCAGCCCUGGUUCUGCGGCCGUUGGCUCAGCAUCACCGCCAGGUGGGUUUCUGUGACUGAACCAUCAUCUCCCCAUGUUGUCUCCACAUCAGAGAAGGACACGGUUCAGGCUGCUUCCACACAUGACUCCACAAGGGUUUGCACUUUCUCUUGUUCAUUCCCAACCUGCCCGAGGUCCUGGAGGGAGUUGGCCUAACCAGGGAUCAGGGGACGUGGCGAGGGACCACAGUGUGGGUCUUUAUGUGACUUCAUCUCACAGGGAGCCAUGAAGCCUGUGCUGGGACCUCUGGGGACAGAGCCACACUGGCCUCCCACCUCCCUCCCCCAGAACCAUGGCCAAAACCCCCUCCUGAGGACCAAGACUCCUGCCACCAUCCGGUACCGUCUUGAUCCUUUGGGCCAUAUACACAUACCACACACUACAGUCUGCUGCUCAGUUUUUCUGCCCUAAGUGGACUCACAUUUUCACUUCAAUAAAUUAGUUCAUAGAGAAGUUAACCAUUGCUGCACUAAACAGGAAAGUGGUAUCAUUGAUCGGACCUAGAUGUUACUAGAAAAAAAAUGCCAUGGGAGUUCCCACUGUGGCACAACAGGAUCAGUGGCAUCUUUGCAGUGCCAGGAAGCAGGUUCAAUCCCUGGCCCGGAGCAGCGGGUUAAAGGAACCAGUGUUGCUGCAGCGGUGACUUAGGUCACAACUGUGGCUCGGAUCUGAUCCCUGGCCCGGGGACUCCAUAUGCCAAGGGGAGGCCAAAAAAGUACC